AUUGAACGCUGGCGGCAGGCCUAACACAUGCAAGUCGAGCGGAGCGGCGGAGGGGGGAGUAAUGCUUAGGUAUCUGCCUGGUAGUGGGGGAUAACGUCCGGAAACGGGCGCUAAUACCGCAUACUAUCAGAUUAGCCUAGGUCGGAUUAGCUCGAUGGUGGGGUAAAGGCCUACCAAGGCGACGAUCCGUAACUGGUCUGAGAGGAUGAUCAGUCACACUGGAACUGAGACACGGUCCAGACUCCUACGUGAGGCAGCAGUGGGGAAUAGUGGACAAUGGGCGAAAGCCGGAUCCAGCCAUGCCGCGUGUGUGAAGAAGGUCUUCGGAUUGUAAAGCACUUUAAGUUGGGAGGCGUUACCAACAGAAUAAGCACCGGCUAACUUCGUGCCAGCCGCCGCGGUAAUAC
Molecule: ribosomal RNA, 407 nt
Filed under: uncultured bacterium
Lineage: Bacteria
Description: partial 16S ribosomal RNA
Rfam family: Bacterial small subunit ribosomal RNA
Source: RNAcentral